GAACUUAACCUAACAUACGUGUAUUAUUCACUGCAUUUAUACAAGCUGAUACGUCCGAAAUCUCGAGCGAAUGGAGAUUUGUAUUCAAAUAUUGUUGAAAAUAUUGUGGGUCUGCAGAACAGCAUAAAAUUAUCGAUAUUAUAUAGUCUGUUCUUUUCAUCUGUACUAGUUCAUGCACUAGGACUGAUGUAGUACAGGCGCGGGCAACAUGAGUGCAAGAGUACUAUUACAGUGAAAAGAACGCAAUGGUGCAGUAUUCAAUAGUAUUCAAUAUGGCGCACAACAGACACAAUAGGCCUGUUAUACAAUAUGUUAGUUGAACUAGAACUUGAGUCUUCAGAUGAAGAUUUUGAUUUAAUACCACCAUUACCACCACCACUUCUGGUUGAAGAUAAUAAUGAUCAUAAUGAAUUAUAAAUAUUUCAUCCAGUUUUUGGAAUGAUUCAACGAAUAGAACACGUAAAAAUAAAUAAUUAUGUGGAAAACAUAGUCUAAAAUUAUAACAACAUCGAUUUCAUUAUGCACUUUCAUUUAUCAAGAGAAGUAGCAUACGAUUUAAUAAACCAAUUCCGUGUAUCUGAGAUAUUUACUUCCUUACAAGAAGGAGGACGUUUAAAAGUUACUGCAGAAAAACAAAUUUUAUGUUACCUGUGGUUUUUAGGCCAUGAAAGUGCUGGUUAUCGUGAUGUGGCUGACAGAUUUGGAAUAACUAUUAGUGUUUUGCAUAAAGUUAUUACCAGAGUAACUGAUUUUAUUAUGUAUUUAGCACCCAAUAUUAUUCGAUAUCCAACUGCGGAUGAAAAAAAAGAAACAGCUUCUCAUUAUCGCAAUGAGAAAAAGUUCCCUGGUGUAAUUGGUGCCAUAGACGGAUCCCACAUUAGAAUUGACAAACCUACAGAAGAUCCCAACUCAUAUAUUAAUCGGAAACAAUACUUUUCAUUGCAUAUCCAAGGCCAACCACAAUAUGAAAUUUUUUGAUGUAUUUGUUGGAUAUCCUGGCUCCGUCCAUGACGCGAGAGUAUUUAAAAAUUCACCAGUUCGUAAUGAUCUUCAUGAACUUUGCAGAGAUAAUUACUAUUUAUUAGGAGACAGUGCGUACCCUUGCUUAAAACAACUAAUUGUCCCAUUUAGGGAUAAUGGGCACUUGACACGUGCACAAAGAAAUUUCAAUCAAAAAUUAAGUUCUUGUCGCGUAAUUAUAGAGAAUGCUUUUGGUUGUCUAAAACAACGUUUACGGUUUAGGCAGUUAUAUCACUUCAAGUUACGUGAUAUAGUAAGAAUAGUUCACGUUAUACAUGCUUGUUAUGUACUUCAUAAUAUGGCGAACGCAGGAGAAAUAAAAUAUUUUGAAGCUUCCAUGGAGGAUGAAUAUCCAGAUAUUGAAGUACAAGAUUUACACAUUGAACAACGCAUUGAUGAAGUACUAAGAGAAAAUGAAACCAGAAUAUAUAUUCGCAAUGAAAUAUGUCGCCAAUUAAAUGUUCAAUAAAUACAAUUAUAUAUGCAUACAUAAAUACAACU
Long non-coding RNA from Harpegnathos saltator (Jerdon's jumping ant), 1521 nucleotides. RefSeq lists it as uncharacterized. NCBI's taxonomy places the organism in Eukaryota, Metazoa, Arthropoda, Insecta, Hymenoptera, Formicidae. The transcript has 6 exons. The record is from RefSeq and is a predicted model, not a curated record.